ACCCUCCAGAUUCCUUACCCGGCAGAUCUAAAUAUUGGUCUGAAUGGCUAAAAAAAGAGGAAAAGUGAAACUGAAGUGGAGUUGGGGUCCUCAGUGACAUACAAGU
This 106-nucleotide small nucleolar RNA is filed under the name Echinops telfairi (small Madagascar hedgehog). RNAcentral's name for it is "Small nucleolar RNA SNORA61 (ENSETEG00000026739.1)". The record is from RNAcentral. Lineage: Eukaryota; Metazoa; Chordata; Mammalia; Afrosoricida; Tenrecidae.